This is a long non-coding RNA of Pseudoliparis swirei, 3734 nucleotides long. RefSeq lists it as uncharacterized. The transcript has 3 exons. The record is from RefSeq and is a predicted model, not a curated record. NCBI's taxonomy places the organism in Eukaryota, Metazoa, Chordata, Actinopteri, Perciformes, Liparidae.
AAAGAAAAAACCCGCAGCUUCUCCAUUCUAUGAUCAUGAAACUGAUUAACGGCAGCUGAUCUGUCGUAACAACAAUGGUUGUUCCGCCCACAGCUUCUCGGCGAGUGUCGUUCGCUUGCUGCUGUCCUGCCACUUGAGUGUUGCUGCCGGCGACUCGUCGCAAACACGCCGCUGAGUUGUCGCUGAGUACUGGCACCGAGCGGCACUUGCCACAGACUUGUGUUGGGGAAAAUCAUAUAACCUUGGUUGAACUCCUUAGAGUUAGCCAGCAUAAAUAAUGAUGUACCUUGCUAUGACACGUUAUGUAACAUGUUCUCCUGAAUGCGGACUACGAUCCCUUGUUAUCUAGUGCGGUCGGGUCACUGUCACCUUGAUCCAACCGGAGUAAAUCAUGUGCCGGCUCUUCAAAUAAUUGAUGUGAUUGGUUAGAAGGUCUGAUGGGAGGGUUACAUUUACACUACAAAUAUGUGCUAAAUAUUCUAGAAAGACGGACUUGUUCACUUGUUGGAUGUUGCCUUGUGCUCAUUAAUACAGUCCCGCUGGGUUGCUACAUCAAAUCAUUGUCUCUCUGCUCUUCAUUUUGCCACAACAUAUUGGAGCCCAAGCCUUAGACUUAAGUAUAAGCAAUUAAAGGUAAAGACAACACAUAGUCAAAGUCUGACAUUAGGAGAAGAUAAAAACACAGACCUGAAUAAAAAACUGACUGCUGACAAAUACACCAGGGUGGCUUUGCAUGAUUACUAACUAGUGGCUAUGCAUUAUUAUAAACUAUUGGCUUUGCAUAAUACAAACUAUUGGCUUUGCAUGAUUACUAACUAUUGGCUUUGGAUAAUUAUGAACUAAUAGCUUUGUUUUACAAUUUGUUUUUGUUAUUAUUAUUUUAUUUUAUUUUAUAUUUAUUUUUUGAAUUAUUUUAAGAAUGCAGCAGUGAGCAUAAUCUAAACGAUGAUUAAUGAGAAAUAACCUGCUUGGGCUUUAUAAAAUAAAAUAGAGGGGGGAAAUGAGUGCGACACCAGUGGAACGUGUAAAGAAGAGAGGUAGAACUAAAAACAAUGUACUUGUUUAAGGUUGAAGGUCAGGGAGUUAGGAAGGAGUGUAAGAGACGGGUUAGUGGAAUUAAUAGAUAAAUAGAAAGACAAAGCAAGUCAGAGGGGACGAGAAGAGAGAGCAUAAAGGGGAGUUAGGAAAGAAUGGAAGAGACGGGUUAGUUGAAUUUAUAGAAAGAAUAAGCAAGUAAGAGAGAGCAGAGAGGGGAGUUAGUUCAGACGCAUUUAACACCGCAUGACAUGUUAACAGGCACACCGAUGCCAGCACCUCAACUCAGGGGGCCCUACAAGGGAACCCCACUUGAGAAGCUGCAGCUGGAGCUAAACGACUAUAUGGAGCAACUAACUGCCAUACAUAGAUCUAUCUAUCUCCAGGAGAAGGGAAAGGAACCGAGGUCCGACCAGAAACCUGAGAAACCAGUGGUACCAGGGGUACAUCAAGAUCUUCCGGCGACAGUGGCACGAGCCAAGACUGGAAGGUCCCUCCAGAGCGGUGCGAGCAACGCCAACAGCGGUCCAGGUGGAAGGAAGUACAACGUGGUCUCACUUGAGUCUUUGCACGAAGGACAAAACCAAGGACUGUUGAAAGCAGAGGACAAUGACCGACCAGGUGAGCCUGGAACAUGUGUUAAAACUAAUGAGCUUCCUGAUAUGGACGUUGACGGGGAGCAUGGGGAAGGAGAGACCGACGAUGGUGGAACCUGAGACGACAUCAGAGAGCAGGCAGGACAGCAGCCAGAUGAUGACCCUUCAUCCAUCUUGGAGAGAAGCCAGGAGCCAUGAAUCAAGUUGAGUACGAUGCAACCACAUCUAUUCAAACCCAUGAUAGACCAGGACCUAUGCCAGCAUUGUCAAAGCUUACACUUAGAAAUGCUGGCAAGGGGGGGUGGUUAUGGGAUUGGUUAGACCAAAUGUUUGGAGAAUGGGGGUCUGUAUUGGUAAAUACGGGCAUUAACGCAUUGAUAGUCCUAAUUGUAGCUUUUCUAUUGGCAUGUUGCAUCGUACCCAUCCUGAGGAGGCAGUGUCGGAGAACGAUGGACAAACAGACGGUGUUACGACCUCCAACUGGCUCAGAUGAUGAACAUGAUGACGAUCGAUCGAGGGACAAAGGCCCAGUUUGCUCAAAUGGUGAUUGGACGACCGAACCCGUUUCCCAUUUCGGACUAACUGAAGGACUCAGACUACAUGGAGGAAACGGGACUAGAAGGCAUGUCAGCCAAGACGACAACCUGAAGGUUGUUGAAAGAAGAACAAGUCCAAGAUCACCACGUCACAUGUUGGAUUAUCUUUCCAGAAGGACGAAGCGAGAAAUUUAUAACAAAUAAGAGUAUGUUACGAUAAAAUGCAUGUAUUAAUCAAAUGAUUCCCAUCGCAAAUGUACUAGUGUUUUAGCAAAAACACAUGUUGAAUUGAGGUGUAUUAUAAACUGUGCAUCUAAUAAGUACAGGUAUAGGGUUAAAUAAUUAGCAGAAACUACAAUGUGUGAUGAAUCAGUUAAAUGCAUGUUUGUCUGAAGAACAGGUUCACUUCAUGCCAGAGCGGUGGUCGCUUGGCGGGACACGACCAUAAGGACGUUUUUCCUGUAACAGCAACCUAUGGGUUUUUUCGUCCUUAUAUGAAAAGUGAACCUGUAAUAUUGCAUCAUGUAUUUGAAAUGAUCUUGUUAAAUUAAAAUGUUAUGUAUUCUUAUAUAAUCAAGUAUAUAUAAUUUACAUAACCACUCAGUCAUGAAUUCUGAAAAGAGUGUAUAACCACUACGUUGUUAUCAUGCUGUAAGAGAUCAAUACUUUGGGUUACAUGUCCUAUCAGACCAAUGUUAUAUGAAAUUAGGAUGGGGGUCCAGAGACCCCCAGAGGGGGGAUAUGUUGGGGGAAAUCAUAUAACCUUGGUUGAACUCCUUAGAGUUAGCCAUCAUAAAUAAUGAUGUACCUUGCUAUGACACGUUAUGUAACAGAUGUUCUCCUGAAUGCGGACUACGAUCCCUUGUUAUCUAGUGCGGUCGGGUCACUGUCACCUUGAUCCAACCGGAGUAAAUCAUGUGCCCGGCUCUUCAGAUAAUUGAUGUGAUUGGUUAAAAGGUCUGAUGGGAGGGUUACAUUUACACUACAAAUAUGUGCUAAAUAUUCUAGAAAGACGGACUUGUUCACUUGUUGGAUGUUGCCUUGUGCUCAUGAAUACAGUCCCGCUGGGUUGCUACAUCAAAUCAUUGUCUCUCUGCUCUUCAUUUUGCCACAACACUUGCCACUGAGUUGUCGGUGCCAGUGAUUGCACUCGCCCUCUCUCAUCUCUGUUGCCACCGACCUCGACUGCAGGAACCUGGUGUGACACUCGACAGUCAACUCUCCCUGACUGCCGACAUUACACCUGCAACACGUUCCUGUAGGUCCAUGCUGCUCAACAUCAGGAGAAUCAACCUCUGCUCACUCAGGAGGAGGCACAGGUUCUGGUCCAGGUUCUGAUCAUCUCACACCUGGACUACUAACUCCCUCCUGGCAGGUCUACCUGCUAGUGCCAUCCGACCUCUGCAGCUCAUCCAGAACGCAGCAGCUCGACUGGGCGGAGAAAGCAGAAGGCAACCAAAGAGACGGCGGGCAUGGCGAAGCUCCCGGACCUGAAGGACGCCGAGGCCGUGCAGAAGUUCUUCCUGGAGGAGAUCCAGCUGGGGGAGGAGCUGCUGGCUCAGGGUAA